Long non-coding RNA from Cydia amplana, 290 nucleotides. RefSeq lists it as uncharacterized. NCBI's taxonomy places the organism in Eukaryota, Metazoa, Arthropoda, Insecta, Lepidoptera, Tortricidae. The transcript has 2 exons. The record is from RefSeq and is a predicted model, not a curated record.
CUAUGGCGGUUAAAAGGUUAAUAUUUGUUGUCGCAGGGACGCAUUGGCACCGUCACCCACGAGACCAAGUAAAGCUUAGUGGAGACACUGGCGAAAGGAGUCAAGGCGUUUGGAGUAUUUUUAAAUCAUACAAGUGAAUAAAGACUAAUAUGUAUAAUUAAAUAUUAGGACAUAUAAUAGCGAGGUAUUAGUUAAGCGUCCCUCACGUUUCAUGAAAUUCUGUAUUUUUUUAUAUGUGUAGGACAUGGGUUAUAAUAUAAUAAAUAAAAAACCUGCAUAAAAAUAGACAA